GCGGGGGUAUCCGAGUGGUCAAAGGAGCACGGCUAAGGACCGUGUGGCUUAGUGCCUUCGCAGGUUCGAAUCCUGCCUCCCGCA
RNAcentral lists this transfer RNA (84 nucleotides) under Candidatus Aenigmatarchaeota archaeon. Its description in RNAcentral is "tRNA-Leu". It matches the Rfam family "tRNA". Rfam says of the family: Transfer RNA (tRNA) molecules are approximately 80 nucleotides in length. Their secondary structure includes four short double-helical elements and three loops (D, anti-codon, and T loops). The record is from RNAcentral. Lineage: Archaea; Nanobdellati; Candidatus Aenigmatarchaeota.